Molecule: long non-coding RNA, 1797 nt
Organism: Equus asinus (donkey)
Lineage: Eukaryota; Metazoa; Chordata; Mammalia; Perissodactyla; Equidae
Source: Ensembl
UGGGAUGGCAUGAACACGUCCCUGGAUCUUUGAUUUCUUGUUAAGUAAAAGUGGGCCCCUAAAAUCAAGGCAGAUGUUUUCACUGCCUGUCACCAAAGCAGAGGAGGGCAGCUGCUUAAGAUCAGUGAGGACACCACUGUGGGGUCUUCCCUCCAUUAGUCUCACCCUUGGAGCCCGGUCAUUCUAUCCUGAAGAGAAUGAACGUGCCCCGUGGGACAGCCCCUCAGGAGCCCCCACUGGCCCCUGUGGACAACCUGAGACCCCCGAGAGGAGACUGACCACUCCCUGCUGGCCCUGCCCUCCCAGGCCUGGGGGUCUCCGCCUUCUUUGUUCUGAGCUGGAGGAGGGAGGGGCUACUCUUCUCACAGAGGACCCUUGGCCCCUGGCCCAUGCUGGGUGUCCAAGGGAGGUAGGAAGCAGCCCUUCUAGGUGCCUCUGUCCACUUCGCCGGCACAGCUGUCCCGAGCCCAGGAACGGGCUCUUUCCUCUACUUACAGACUGAGGGAAAGCUCCUGCUUCCGAGGCAGGAGUCACAGCACCUGUGGAAGCAGACUCGCUGAGGGAGACCUUGAGUGACAGCCAUUCCAGCCUCAGCUUCCCUGGUGGUAAAAGAAGGCACCCAACACAUGGCAGGCGAGGAAAUGUGUUCCUCUGUGAAAGGAAAAGAAGACUACAUUGGAGAGCAGGUUUGGGUCCCAUACCACUCCAGCCUGGGGGUGCUCCUGCACUAAGAAAUGAGCUGUUUAUGCUGCCCCUACAUGAGCAUCUGUAGAGGACCCUGGCAGAGCUGCUUCAGAAGCAAGGAGUGUGCCCCGAAUUCCUAACCAGACUGUGAGCUUCUUGAGGUUUCACCGAGAGUUGGCUGAAAAAGGGCCCAGAGAGGGACUAAGGGAAAAAAUUUCCCAUACACCAACAUCAAGAAAGGAAAUGACAGGCUAUUGUUUGGCCAUAGUUCCUUGCUGCCUCCAGCACUGCCUCCACCCAUGCUGCAGCAACCAUGUUGCCAGUCAACCAAUCAGCAACAGUUUCACUCCAGUGACCGUGUGGCUAACAGUCAGCCAAUCAGCAACAGCUUCACUCCAGUGACCGUGUGGCUAACAGCCAGCCAAUCAGCAACAGCUUCACUCCGGUGACCGUGUGGCUAACAGCCAGCCAAUCAGCAACAGCUUCACUCCGGUGACCGUGUGGCUAACAGUCAGCCAAUCAGCAACAGCUUCACUCCGGUGACCGUGUGGCUAACAGUCAGCAAUCAGCAACAGCUUCACUCCAGCAACCACUGCUGCUGAACGUGAGGUUGCAGAAUCAGCAACAGCCACACUUCUGUAACCAUAUUUCCACAGCUAAAGAUGAACAAUCCAUGAACACUCCCACUUCUGAGAGUCUGUGCACCGCUGAGCCGCACGCUUCCCGAACACUCUACAACCAGUUGUUGCUUUGUUCAGUGUGCACCUCACAAGGAUGGCUCUCCCUUGUGUAGCAGACACUUGGGUCUCUGCACUGAGACACCGAGUGGGGGCCUCUUCCUCUUCCUUUUGGGGGUGGAGCAUCAGACACAGCAAGAGCCGCUUGCCAGAUAGAAUGAUGGCACCGUGAAGGCAGGCGCCAGGUCAGCCUUUCUCACUGUUCUAUCUCCGUUCUGCGGACAGCAGUAACAAAGAGGAGUAACACACGUCAGGGCUUCUAAGAUAGAGCUGGGAGGCCAUGAAGGAAGUGAGGCUGUGCACGUACACCCCAUCUCUAUUCAGAAAGAAUGUAACUUUUGAACUGUGCCUCACUGUUGUUAUCUUGACCUUCCUU